GAUGAACGCUAGCUACAGGCUUAACACAUGCAAGUCGAGGGGAAACGGGCGUCAGGCUUGCCUGACGCAGUCGUCGACCGGCGAAUGGGUGAGUAACGCGUAUCCAACCUGCCCGCAAGCGGGGAAUAGGCUUUCGAAAGAAAGAUUAAUACCCCAUGUACUCCUCAGCAGUCAUCUAAAGAGGAGCAAAGAUUUAUCGCUUGCGGAUGGGGAUGCGUCUGAUUAGGCAGUUGGCGGGUUAACAGCCCACCAAACCGACGAUCAGUAGGGGUUCUGAGAGGAAGGUCCCCCACAUUGGAACUGAGACACGGUCCAAACUCCUACGGGAGGCAGCAGUAGGGAAUAUUGGACAAUGGGCGCAAGCCUGAUCCAGCCAUGCCGCGUGAGUGAAGAAGGCCCUCGGGUUGUAAAGCUCUUUUGUCCGGAAAGAAAGCGCCGGGUUAAUACCCUGGUGUCCUGACGGUACCGGAAGAAUAAGCACCGGCUAACUUCGUGCCAGCAGCCGCGGU
Molecule: ribosomal RNA, 509 nt
Filed under: uncultured bacterium
Lineage: Bacteria
Description: bacterial SSU rRNA
Rfam family: Bacterial small subunit ribosomal RNA
Source: RNAcentral